GUUGUAUGGUUAAGUGACUAAGCGUACACGGUGGAUGCCUUGGCAGUUGGAGGCGAUGAAGGACGUACUAACUUGCGAUAAGCCUAGUCAAGCCAGUAAGAGGCGCUUGAGACUAGGAUUUCCGAAUGGGGAAACCCACCUGCUUGCAGGUAUCGUUAACUGAAUACAUAGGUUAACGAGGCGAACGCGGAGAACUGAAACAUCUAAGUAUCCGUAGGAAAAGAAAUCAACCGAGAUUCCGAAAGUAGCGGCGAGCGAAAUCGGACCAGCCCUUAAGCUUUAGUGUAGUUAGUGGAACAUGUUGGAAAGCAUGACGAAACAGGGUGAUAGUCCCGUACACAAAAACUUAUCUAAAGUGAAAUCGAGUAGGUCGGAGCACGUGAAACUUUGACUGAAUAUGGGGGGACCAUCCUCCAAGGCUAAAUACUCCCAACUGACCGAUAGUGAACCAGUACCGUGAGGGAAAGGCGAAAAGAACCCCUGUGAGGGGAGUGAAAUAGAACCUGAAACCGUGUACGUACAAGCAGUAGGAGCCUACUUGUUGGGUGACUGCGUACCUUUUGUAUAAUGGGUCAGCGACUUAUAUUCUGUAGCGAGGUUAACCAUUUAGGGGAGCCGUAGCGAAAGCGAGUCUUAACUGGGCGCUUAAGUUGCAGGGUAUAGACCCGAAACCCGGUGAUCUAGCCAUGGGCAGGUUGAAGGUUGAGUAACAUCAACUGGAGGACCGAACCCACUAACGUUGAAAAGUUAGGGGAUGACCUGUGGCUAGGAGUGAAAGGCUAAUCAAACCGGGAGAUAGCUGGUUCUCCCCGAAAUCUAUUUAGGUAGAGCCUCGGACGAAUACUUACGGGGGUAGAGCACUGUUAAGGCUAGGGGGUCAUCCCGACUUACCAACCCUUUGCAAACUCCGAAUACCGUAAAGUAAUAUCCGGGAGACACACGGCGGGUGCUAACGUCCGUCGUGGAGAGGGAAACAACCCAGACCGUCAGCUAAGGUCCCAAAGUGUAUGUUAAGUGGGAAACGAUGUGGGAAGGCUAAAACAGCUAGGAGGUUGGCUUAGAAGCAGCCACCCUUUAAAGAAAGCGUAAUAGCUCACUAGUCGAGUCGGCCUGCGCGGAAGAUGUAACGGGGCUAAACAUACCACCGAAGCUACGGCUGCGUACGUAAGUAUGCGGGGUAGGGGAGCGUUCUGUAAGUGGCUGAAGGUGUGCCGGGAGGCAUGCUGGACAUAUCAGAAGUGCGAAUGCUGACAUGAGUAACGACAAGAGGAGUGAAAAACUCCUCCGCCGGAAGACCAAGGGUUCCUAUCCCAUGUUAAUCAGGGUAGGGUGAGUCGACCCCUAAGGCGAGGCUGAAGAGCGUAGUCGAUGGGAAACGGGUUAAUAUUCCCGUACUCGGUAUGAAUGCGAUGGGGGGACGGAGCAGGCUAGGCAAGCAUGGCGUUGGUUGUCCAUGUGAAAGGCUGUAGGCUGGUGACUUAGGAAAAUCCGGGUUGCUAAGGCUGAGAGUCGAGACGAGCCACUAAGGUGGUGAAGUUGUUGAUGCCCUACUUCCAGGAAAAGCCUCUAAGCUUCAGUUCAUACUGAAUCGUACCCUAAACCGACACAGGUGGUCAGGUAGAGAAUACUAAGGCGCUUGAGAGAACUCGGGUGAAGGAACUAGGCAAAAUUGUACCGUAACUUCGGGAGAAGGUACGCUCUUGUUUGUGAAGGACUUGCUCUGUAAGCAAACGAGAGCCGCAGUGACCAGGUGGCUGGGACUGUUUAUUAAAAACACAGCACUGUGCAAAAUCGUAAGAUGACGUAUACGGUGUGACACCUGCCCGGUGCCGGAAGGUUAAUUGAUGGGGUUAGCUUAGGCGAAGCUCUUGAUCGAAGCCCCGGUAAACGGCGGCCGUAACUAUAACGGUCCUAAGGUAGCGAAAUUCCUUGUCGGGUAAGUUCCGACCUGCACGAAUGGUGUAACCAUGGCCACGCUGUCUCCACCCGAGACUCAGUGAAAUUGAAAUCGCAGUGAAGAUGCUGUGUACCCGCGGCUAGACGGAAAGACCCCGUGAACCUUUACUACAGCUUGGCACUGAACAUUGACCCUACAUGUGUAGGAUAGGUGGGAGGCUUUGAAGCAGAGACGCUAGUUUCUGUGGAGCCGACCUUGAAAUACCACCCUUGUAGUGUUGAUGUUCUAACUUAGGCCCCUGAAUCGGGGUUGAGGACAGUGCCUGGUGGGUAGUUUGACUGGGGCGGUCUCCUCCCAAAGAGUAACGGAGGAGCACGAAGGUUUGCUAAGUACGGUCGGACAUCGUACGGUUAGUGUAAUGGUAGAAGCAAGCUUAACUGCGAGACAGACACGUCGAGCAGGUACGAAAGUAGGUCAUAGUGAUCCGGUGGUUCUGAAUGGAAGGGCCAUCGCUCAACGGAUAAAAGGUACUCCGGGGAUAACAGGCUGAUACCGCCCAAGAGUUCAUAUCGACGGCGGUGUUUGGCACCUCGAUGUCGGCUCAUCACAUCCUGGGGCUGAAGUCGGUCCCAAGGGUAUGGCUGUUCGCCAUUUAAAGUGGUACGCGAGCUGGGUUUAGAACGUCGUGAGACAGUUCGGUCCCUAUCUGCCGUGGGCGUUUGAGAAUUGAGAGGGGCUGCUCCUAGUACGAGAGGACCGGAGUGGACGAACCGCUGGUGUUCGGGUUGUGAUGCCAAUUGCAUUGCCCGGUAGCUACGUUCGGAACUGAUAACCGCUGAAAGCAUCUAAGCGGGAAGCAGGCCUCGAGAUGAGUUCUCACUUUGACUUAGAGUCAACUGAAGGGCCGUUGAAGACUACAACGUUGAUAGGCGAGAUGUGGAAGUGCUGUGAGGCAUUAAGCUAACUCGUACUAAUUACCCGUGAGGCUUAACCAUACAACGCCAAAGUGGUUU
This 2910-nucleotide ribosomal RNA is filed under the name Pseudoalteromonas sp. A22. Its description in RNAcentral is "23S ribosomal RNA". It matches the Rfam family "Bacterial large subunit ribosomal RNA". Lineage: Bacteria; Pseudomonadati; Pseudomonadota; Gammaproteobacteria; Alteromonadales; Pseudoalteromonadaceae. The record is from RNAcentral.